RNAcentral lists this ribosomal RNA (497 nucleotides) under uncultured bacterium. RNAcentral's name for it is "partial 16S ribosomal RNA". It matches the Rfam family "Bacterial small subunit ribosomal RNA", at positions 28 to 507 of the family's 1533-position model. The record is from RNAcentral.
GAUGAACGCUGGCGGCGUGCCUAAUACAUGCAAGUCGAGCGAACGGACGAGAAGCUUGCUUCUCUGAUGUUAGCGGCGGACGGGUGAGUAACACGUGGAUAACCUACCUAUAAGACUGGGAUAACUUCGGGAAACCGUAGCUAAUACCGGAUAAUAUUUUGAACCGCAUGGUUCAAAAGUGAAAGACGGUCUUGCUGUCACUUAUAGAUGGAUCCGCGCUGCAUUAGCUAGUUGGUAAGGUAACGGCUUACCAAGGCAACGAUGCAUAGCCGACCUGAGAGGGUGAGCGGGCACACGGGAGCGUGGACGCGGUCGCGACGCCGACGGGAGGCAUCAGUGGGGAAUGUUCCGGAAUGGGGGGAAGGCUGACGGAGCAACGCCGGGUGAGAGAGGAAGGCAUUAGGAUCGUAAAACUCUGUUAUUAGGGAAGAACAAGAGUGGAAGGAGAGGAGCACAUCUUGCCGGUACCGAAUCAGAAAGCCACGGCUAACUACGUG